CCUUUUUAGCUCACCUGUCCCGAAGGGACAAGUGAGCUUAUGCCAUCACUUGGCGUCCGUCGUCGUCCGUCGUCUGUCGUCUGUCGUCGUAAACUAUUUCAAGAAUCUUCUCCUCUGAAACUACUGGGCCAAAUACUUUCAAACUUUAACUGAAUGUUCCUUAGGGUAUCUUAUUUAUAAAUUGUAUCAGAAGUUUUGAUCUAUCAACAAACAUGGUCGCCAUUGCUAAAAAUAGAACAUAGAGGUCAAAUGCAGUUUUUGGCUUAUAACUCAAAAACCAAAGCAUUUAGAGCAAAUCUGACAGGGGUAAUAUUGUUUAUCAGGUCAAGAUCUAUCUGCCCUGAAAUUUUCAGAUGAAUCAGACAACCCAUUGUUGGGUUGCUGCCCCUGAAUUGGUAAUUUUAAGGAAAUUUUGCUGUUUUUGGUUAUUAUCUUGAAUAUUAUUAUAGAUAGAAAUAAACUGUAAACAGGAAUAAUGUUCAGCAAAGUAAGAUUUACAAAUAAGUCAACAUGACGGAAAUGGUCAGUUGACCCCUUUAGGAGUUAUUGCCCUUUAUAGUAAAUUUUUAACCAUUUUUCGUAAAUCUUAGUAAUCUUUUACAAAAAUCUUCUCCUCUGAAACUACUGGGCCAAAUACUUCCAAACUUAAAUUGAAUGUUCCUUAGGGUAUCUAGUUUGUAAAUGU
Molecule: long non-coding RNA, 685 nt
Filed under: Mytilus galloprovincialis (Mediterranean mussel)
Lineage: Eukaryota; Metazoa; Mollusca; Bivalvia; Mytilida; Mytilidae
Source: RNAcentral